This is a long non-coding RNA of Balaenoptera musculus (blue whale), 613 nucleotides long. RefSeq lists it as uncharacterized. The transcript is spliced from 5 exons. The record is from RefSeq and is a predicted model, not a curated record. Lineage: Eukaryota; Metazoa; Chordata; Mammalia; Artiodactyla; Balaenopteridae.
CCACCCAGGCGCCUCGGCCACCCCGGCAUCUCCGGCGCCCCAGGCCACCCCAGCGCCCCCGACCUUGGCCACCCGGUUGCAGCCGCCCUUCUCCCUCUGCGCCCCAGGUUGAGGUCGAUCCGUGGCGAGAUGGUGUCAGGGAAACUGGUCACUUUGUAUUCCUGUACCAAGUUUCCUGCGGUGCGUUGAAGUGAAGACUUUGGGAUUCUCGCUCAUCUGUGAAAUGUGACCAACAGAGGACGCCAGUGGUCCAGGAUUGAAUUUGGAAUUACACUUUCAAGGCUCUUAAAAAGAGCGUGUGGAUCAGCGGUGGGAAGCGGCGAGACCACGUAGAAAACGGGCGGAGAUUCUUAACCACUGCACCACCGGGGGGGAAGCCCCUACCACCAUCAUCAUCUAAGUAGCGGACAAGGGAAGCCCAGGGAGAAUGUCUAAAGUCACAGACCUCGCCGUGCAGUUGGAGAAAAGGGUCUCACAGGCUGUCUGGAGAGACUGAUGGGGAUCAGGCAGUGGUGUGCAGUGUGACCAUGAGAAACACAGAAGGGUUGACCAAGUGUGUCUGUGACCCAGGGGAGGGGGCACAGACUCUCCUAUGUGGUCGAAAGGAGCUUCA